This 745-nucleotide long non-coding RNA is filed under the name Marmota monax (woodchuck). Lineage: Eukaryota; Metazoa; Chordata; Mammalia; Rodentia; Sciuridae. The record is from RNAcentral.
UGUGUGCGUGUGCACACACAUAUAUGUGGUAAAAACACUUCAAAAUCUAUUCUCAGCAAUUUUCAUAUGUACACUAUAUUCCUGUAUUAUUAACUAGUAUCAAAAUGAUGUACAGUGAAGCUCUUGACCUUAUCCCCCCCAACUGAAAUUUUACAUCCUUUGCCCAAAAUCUCCACAAUUGCACCACCCCUCGCCUCUGAUAAUCACCACCUUACUCUCCACUUCUAUGAAGUCAACUUUUUUAGAUUCCACCUAUAAAUGAGAUUGUGUAAUAUUUGUCUUUCUGUACCUAACUCAUUUUACUUAGCAUAAUAUUAUCCAUGUUGUCACAACUGACAGAAUUUUCUUCUUUUUUAAAGACUGAAUUGCAUUCCACUGUGUAUUUACCACUCUUUAUCAAAAUUUUUUUUUUGAGGGGUCAGGUGCUGAGGAUUAAACCUAGGGCCUUGUGCAUGUAAGGCAAGCACUCUACCAACUGAGCUAUAUUAUCUCCAGCCUACUUUAUCAGUUUAUCUGCUGACAGACAUGUAAAUUGAUCCUUAUCUUGGCUGUUGUGAAUGAUGCUAAAACAUGGGAGCACGGCUAUCUCUUGAGCAUCCUGAUUUCUUGGCCUUUGGCUUUAUACCCAGUGGUAGGAUUGCUGGAUCAAAUGGUUGUUCUAUUUUUAACUUUUUAGAAACCUCCCUACUGUUUUCCACAAAGCUUCUGCUAAUUUACAUUCCCACCAACUGUGCACAAGAGUUUC